CAGUCGCCGCGGUAAUACGAAGGGGGCUAGCGUUGUUCGGAUUUACUGGGCGUAAAGCGCACGUAGGCGGAUCGUUAAGUCGGGGGUGAAAUCCUGGAGCUCAACUCCAGAACUGCCUUCGAUACUGGCGAGCUUGAGUCCGGAAGAGGUGAGUGGAACUCCUAGUGUAGAGGUGGAAUUCGUAGAUAUUAGGAAGAACACCAGUGGCGAAGGCGGCUCACUGGUCCGGUACUGACGCUGAGGUGCGAAAGCGUGGGGAGCAAACAGGAUUAGAUACCCGCGUAGUCCCUGUCUCUUAUAC
Molecule: ribosomal RNA, 301 nt
Filed under: uncultured bacterium
Lineage: Bacteria
Description: partial 16S ribosomal RNA
Rfam family: Bacterial small subunit ribosomal RNA
Source: RNAcentral